RNAcentral lists this non-coding RNA (90 nucleotides) under Coriobacteriaceae bacterium. RNAcentral describes it as "c-di-GMP sequence". It matches the Rfam family "c-di-GMP-I riboswitch aptamer". Rfam says of the family: GEMM was predicted in a large-scale screen for bacterial structured RNA regulatory elements. The record is from RNAcentral. Lineage: Bacteria; Bacillati; Actinomycetota; Coriobacteriia; Coriobacteriales; Coriobacteriaceae.
CCCCGAAAAAGGCACCUCCGCCGAAAGGCGGACGACGCAAAGCCACGGGUCUACAGGAGGGCGACCUCCCACGACAGCCGGGCUGCCGAG